AUUGAAACAUUGGUUCCCAUAUGAUCACUGACGUUAAGCAACAUUGAGCCUGGUUAGUACCUAGAUGGGUGACUGCUUGGGAAUAUCAGAUGCUGUAAU
Non-coding RNA from Acanthosepion pharaonis, 99 nucleotides. The record is from the annotation of a GenBank genome assembly. NCBI's taxonomy places the organism in Eukaryota, Metazoa, Mollusca, Cephalopoda, Sepiida, Sepiidae.